GAUGGACGCUGGCGGCGUGCCUAAUACAUGCAAGUCGAGCGAACGGACGAUAAGCUUUCUUCUCUGAUGUUAGCGGCUGACGGGUGAGUAACACGUGGAUCACCUUCCUAUAAUACUUGGAUAACUUCGUGAAACCGGAGCUAAUACCGGAUAAUAUUUUGAACCGCAUGGUUCAAAAGUGAAAGACGGUUCUGCUGUCACUUAUAGAUGGAUCCGCGCUGCAUUAGCUAGUUGGUAAGGUAACGGCUUACCAAGGCAACGAUGCAUAGCCGACCUGAGAGGAUGAUCGGCCACACUGGAACUGAGACACGGUCCAGACUCCUACGGGAGGCAGCAGUAGGGAAUAUUCGGCAAUGGGCGAAAGCCUGACGGAGCAACGCCGCGUGAGUGAUGAAGGUCUUCGGAUCGUAAAACUCUGUUAUUAGGGAAGAACAUAAGUGUAAGUAACUGUGCACGUCUUGACGGUACCUAAUCAGAAAGCAACGGCUAACUACGUG
RNAcentral lists this ribosomal RNA (497 nucleotides) under uncultured bacterium. RNAcentral describes it as "partial 16S ribosomal RNA". It matches the Rfam family "Bacterial small subunit ribosomal RNA", at positions 28 to 507 of the family's 1533-position model. The record is from RNAcentral.